This 310-nucleotide unclassified non-coding RNA is filed under the name Hevea brasiliensis (rubber tree). The record is from RNAcentral. Lineage: Eukaryota; Viridiplantae; Streptophyta; Magnoliopsida; Malpighiales; Euphorbiaceae.
GAGUAGGCAUCCCAAAGUUACGUUUGAUGUUCUCCUUUGUGUUUCUACCCUUCUGAUGACCGAUGAACAUGUAGCUUCUACCAUCCAUGCUUCCAAUGCCAGUCACUAUUGCUGGAUCAUCAUAACCAGCACGAUCUCCAUGAAGCUCAACCCACUUGUCAGUGAUGCUUAUAACGUGAUCUAGAAAGGUUGGUCGAUUUGGAUGUCGAGCAAUGCUCAAACGCUGUAUGGGAGUGAGAUGUGUAUAUAGAUCCUUCAAAGCUUGUUGAUAUUUAGACUCCAGAGAGAUGAUUUGGUCGCUGAAGUCCAG